This 222-nucleotide unclassified non-coding RNA is filed under the name plant metagenome. RNAcentral describes it as "partial contains small subunit ribosomal RNA, internal transcribed spacer 1, and 5.8S ribosomal RNA". The record is from RNAcentral.
UUUCUGUAGGUGAACCUGCGGAAGGAUCAUUAAAGAACGCCCCGUUUUUUGAAAUGGGUAAUUCUAAACCGUGUAUACAUACCUUUGUUGCUUUGGCAGGCCGCCCCUCAGGGCGUCGGCUCCGGCUGACUGCGCCUGCCAGAGGACCCAAACUCUUUUGUUUAGUGAUGUCUGAGUACUAUAUAAUAGUUAAAACUUUCAACAACGGAUCUCUUGGUUCUG